RNAcentral lists this small RNA (142 nucleotides) under Escherichia coli. Its description in RNAcentral is "Short Intergenic Abundant RNA". It matches the Rfam family "Short Intergenic Abundant RNA". Rfam says of the family: This family contains multiple ncRNA from E. coli that were identified in a large scale screen of E. coli, were they were called candidates 43,55 and 61. These RNAs have also been identified by other groups and called QUAD RNAs. The record is from RNAcentral. Lineage: Bacteria; Pseudomonadati; Pseudomonadota; Gammaproteobacteria; Enterobacterales; Enterobacteriaceae.
UUGACAAUAUUAUCGUGAAGGCAUACUUUCAGGAGUGAGGGUAGAGCGGGGUUUCCCCCGCCCUGGUAGUCUUAGUAAGCCGGGAAGCUUAUGACUAAGAGCACCACGAUGAUGAUCCACUUCAUCAUGACCCUUUCCUUAU